UUAUGUAUAAAACCCUGUUUGGUUUGUUCUUAUUUGUAUUUACGAGAAACCAAGUUAGAAGAACCAUGUUGACAGCUAUAAUCUUCGGGGUAGUCCUAUGUGUCACAGUAUCUACUGGUGCUGAUGUAGUUGUAUUGACUACGGAGAACAGGCAACAAGAAGUAACAGAGUUUGAUCUUGCUAACCCAUCACACAAGAAUCGCGUUCACCAACACCGUAAAAACCCAAGUGGAAUUAGCUAUGAUCCGGUAGAAGAGAAGAUGUAUUGGGCUGAACCAGGAGCCAAGGCUAUCUACAGUUCUAAAGUUGAUGGGUCUCAACAACAAAUGGUACAUUCAAAUGUGAAUGUGUAUGACGUAACAGUAAAUAUAGAAGGACGUGAAGUAAUAUAUACAGAUUCUAGAACUAUAUCUAGAAUAUCUAUCAAUGAUCAUCAUGUAUCUACAGUUGUAUCACAUGCUACUGGUGCUAUAGAUAUAGAGUAUGAUCCUAUUGACAAACACAUAUAUUGGUCUAAUUUCUUAGGGAAUGUAAUAGAGAAAUGUACAUACCCUGCUGGUCAGUGUUCAACAUUAGUAAAAACAUCAUUUCCUCUGAAUAUGGCCAUAGACCCCAAGGGCAAGCGACUGUAUUGGGUAUCAGGAAACCAUGAACAAGUAGAAAGUAUUGGUUUAGAUGGUCAUAAUCAACGUACAGAAAUGAGCUCUAAUGAUGAUAUGUAUACAGCAUUAGAUUUCUAUGAUGGAAACCUUUAUGUUGGUGUUCAUAAUUCCAAACAAGCUAAGAUUAAUAAAUAUGAUGUUAAAUCACGACACACAACAACAAUAACUACAGAAGACUAUAGAUCAUAUUAUGAUAUUGCUGUCAGUCCUAAACAAGGAUCGGGACAUAUUAUUGGUUAACAAUGGGACUUAUUGGUAUUUAUGGAAUUUGGUGAAUAAAUAAUAUAGGGUCUAAUGUAUUCUCUUAGUUGAUAUUUUGUUU
This is a long non-coding RNA of Patella vulgata (common limpet), 984 nucleotides long. RefSeq lists it as uncharacterized. The record is from RefSeq and is a predicted model, not a curated record. The transcript has 7 exons. Lineage: Eukaryota; Metazoa; Mollusca; Gastropoda; Patellidae.